GACGAACGCUGGCGGCGUGCUUAACACAUGCAAGUCGAACGGAAAGGCCCUGCUUUUGUGGGGUGCUCGAGUGGCGAACGGGUGAGUAACACGUGAGUAACCUGCCCUUGACUUUGGGAUAACUUCAGGAAACUGGGGCUAAUACCGGAUAGGAGCUCCCGCUGCAUGGUGGGGGUUGGAAAGUUUCGGCGGUUGGGGAUGGACUCGCGGCUUAUCAGCUUGUUGGUGGGGUAGUGGCUUACCAAGGCUUUGACGGGUAGCCGGCCUGAGAGGGUGACCGGCCACAUUGGGACUGAGAUACGGCCCAGACUCCUACAGGAGGCAGCAGUGGGGAAUAUUGCACAAUGGGCGGAAGCCUGAUGCAGCAACGCCGCGUGCGGGAUGACGGCCUUCGGGUUGUAAACCGCUUUCGCCUGUGACGAAGCGUGAGUGACGGUAAUGGGUAAAGAAGCACCGGCUAACUACGUG
This 468-nucleotide ribosomal RNA is filed under the name uncultured bacterium. RNAcentral describes it as "partial 16S ribosomal RNA". It matches the Rfam family "Bacterial small subunit ribosomal RNA", at positions 28 to 507 of the family's 1533-position model. The record is from RNAcentral.